RNAcentral lists this ribosomal RNA (253 nucleotides) under uncultured bacterium. Its description in RNAcentral is "partial 16S ribosomal RNA". It matches the Rfam family "Bacterial small subunit ribosomal RNA", at positions 524 to 776 of the family's 1533-position model. The record is from RNAcentral.
UACGUAGGGUGCAAGCGUUAAUCGGAAUUGCUGGGCGUAAAGCGUGCGCAGGCGGCUAUGCAAGUCAGAUGUGAAAUCCCCGGGCUCAACCUGGGAACUGCAUUUGUGACUGCAUGGCUAGAGUACGGCAGAGGGGGAUGGAAUUCCGCGUGUAGCAGUGAAAUGCGUAGAUAUGCGGAGGAACACCGAUGGCGAAGGCAAUCCCCUGGGCCUGUACUGACGCUCAUGCACGAAAGCGUGGGGAGCAAACAGG